RNAcentral lists this unclassified non-coding RNA (249 nucleotides) under Cladorrhinum sp. RNAcentral describes it as "partial internal transcribed spacer region". The stretch from base 1 to 46 matches the Rfam family "Eukaryotic small subunit ribosomal RNA", at positions 1786 to 1831 of the family's 1831-position model. The record is from RNAcentral. Lineage: Eukaryota; Fungi; Ascomycota; Sordariomycetes; Sordariales; Podosporaceae.
AAGUCGUAACAAGGUCUCCGUUGGUGAACCAGCGGAGGGAUCAUUACAGAGUUGCAAAACUCCCUAAACCAUCGUGAACCUACCGCUAAACAGUUGCUUCGGCGGGUGGCGGGCGUGCCCCCCCAGGGGGGAAAGCCCGCCGCCGAGCCCGCCGGAGGAAAACCAAAACUCUUGUUUUUACUACCGGCCUCUCUGAGUAUACUUACUUAAAAUAAGUCAAAACUUUCAACAACGGAUCUCUUGGUUCUG